RNAcentral lists this ribosomal RNA (402 nucleotides) under uncultured bacterium. Its description in RNAcentral is "bacterial SSU rRNA". It matches the Rfam family "Bacterial small subunit ribosomal RNA", at positions 357 to 776 of the family's 1533-position model. The record is from RNAcentral.
GGGAAUAUUGCACAAUGGGGGAAACCCUGAUGCAGCAACGCCGCGUGAGUGAUGACGGCCUUCGGGUUGUAAAGCUCUGUCUUCAGGGACGAUAAUGACGGUACCUGAGGAGGAAGCCACGGCUAACUACGUGUCAGCAGCCGCGGUAAUACGUAGGUGGCGAGCGUUGUCCGGAUUUACUGGGCGUAAAGGGAGCGUAGGCGGACUUUUAUGUGAGAUGUGAAAUACUCGGGCUCAACUUGAGUGCUGCAUUUCAAACUGGAAGUCUAGAGUGCAGGAGAGGAGAAUGGAAUUCCUAGUGUAGCGGUGAAAUGCGUAGAGAUUAGGAAGAACACCAGUGGCGAAGGCGAUUCUCUGGACUGUAACUGACGCUGAGGCUCGAAAGCGUGGGGAGCAAACAGG